RNAcentral lists this ribosomal RNA (466 nucleotides) under uncultured bacterium. RNAcentral's name for it is "partial 16S ribosomal RNA". It matches the Rfam family "Bacterial small subunit ribosomal RNA", at positions 29 to 506 of the family's 1533-position model. The record is from RNAcentral.
ACGCACGCUGGCUGCGUGCUUCACACCUGCCAGUCGAACGGAAAGGCCCUGCUUUUGUGGGGUGCUCGAGUGGCGAACGGGUGAGUAACACGUGAGUAACCUGCCCUUGACUUUGGGAUAACUUCAGGAAACUGGGGCUAAUACCGGAUAGGAGCUCCUGCUGCAUGGUGGGGGUUGGAAAGUUUCGGCGGUUGGGGAUGGACUCGCGGCUUAUCAGCUUGUUGGUGGGGUAGUGGCUUACCAAGGCUUUGACGGGUAGCCGGCCUGAGAGGGUGACCGGCCACAUUGGGACUGAGAUACGGCCCAGACUCCUACGGGAGGCAGCAGUGGGGAAUAUGGCACAAUGGGCGGAAGCCUGAGGCAGCAACGCCGCGUGCGGGAUGACGGCCUUCGGGUUGUAAACCGCUUUCGCCUGUGACGAAGCGUGAGUGACGGUAAUGGGUAAAGAAGCACCGGCUAACUACGU